Long non-coding RNA from Malurus melanocephalus (red-backed fairy wren), 722 nucleotides. RefSeq lists it as uncharacterized. Lineage: Eukaryota; Metazoa; Chordata; Aves; Passeriformes; Maluridae. The record is from RefSeq and is a predicted model, not a curated record. The transcript is spliced from 5 exons.
UAAUCAAUAAUAGAUGGAAAAAUUUUGGAUAAAGAAAARAAUAAAGAUUUUCAUUCAACUCGUUUCCUGAACCUCAAUUUCUGACACGAAGAGGAAAAGUAAUUCACUGCUCCACCUUCACUGCUGUGCUUAGCAGAGACCAAGGACAAAUGGCAGAAAAACCUGGAGUGUUUUGCUGCAGAUUGGGAGUAGCCACUAGGAGGGGCUGACUGCCUUGAAGAGAAGGUACAACCAAGCACUGUCCAGGYGUGGRGCCCCACAUAAGARGGAUGUGGAUCUGUUGAAGUGAGUCCAGAGGAGGGCCAUGAAGAUGAUGRGACAACUGAAGCUCCUCUCCUGUGAAGACAAGCUGAGAGAGUUGGAGUUGUUCAGCCUGGUGAAGAGAAGRGCCUGGCACCUUCKGGUGCCUAAAGAGGGUCUACAAGAAAGCUGGAGAGAUCAGAGUUCCAAUAUGGCCAUGCUCUUGAAAGGGAAGCACCUAAUACACAGCUCAUUUAUCAAGGCAAAAGUGUUUAACUAUGACCUUAAGCACAUGCUGCUGCUUGUUAGUUUAACUGAAGCUACACAAACAUGAUAAAAGGUAUGAUCCCCUGAAGAUGGUGGCAGGUUUCUCCUGUGGUUUAAGGGCUCACCUGGGACUCAGAAGAGAAAGGUUCAAUGUCCUGCUGUGCUACAGACUCCUGGAGUGGGCAAUGUGAUAUUCGUUUCAGCAUCUCRGACAA